UGGCCAGAAUUCCUGUGUGAGCUGCUUGGGGGGCCCUGCCCUGCCAGGGCUUGCACUGGGUGAUCUCCAGAGGUUCCCUCAACCCUGGUGCUGCUGUGGGAAGGGCUGAGCCGGUGCUGGGGCUGCGUCGUGCUCCCGGGGCACAGGAGGAAGCAGAAGUGCUGCUGCCGCAGCGCGGGGGGGCUGGAGGGGUUGAACCCUCGUUUCCUCUGUGUGGGCUCAGCGCUGGGAGCUGCUGGGGCUGGGGCUGUGUCCAGCGGGGCUGGGUGCGAUGGGGGACUGGAGCUCGCCCAUCAGCUCGCUGGGUGGGGAGGUGCUGGCCCGGCUCUGCCAGCUCCUGGACAUCACUGGCUGCGGCUGGCGCAGGUUGGCUGAGGUGGCGGCGUCAGCGCUGCAGGUACCUUGCAGCGAGGAGGAGCUGGAGAUGUGCUCGCUGAAGGUGCUGGAGCCCCAUGGCAGCCCCGCACAGAGCCUCCUGCAGCUCCUGGCUGAGCGCAACUGCACCCUGCAGGACCUGCUGGGCUGCCUGGGGAGGAUGGGGCACAUGCAGGCCUGCCACGUCCUCAGCAGUGCCGGCUGCUCUCUCCUCUCCCAGUCCAGGAUACAAUCUGCAUCGUGGAGCAGCCGGAGUCGCAGGUGGUGGCAGAGGGGACACAUGUGUCCCUGAGCUGCCGGGCCGCCGGCCCACCGGGGCUCACGUACCAGUGGUUCUGCGGGAGGCAGGAGGUGCCUGGAGCCACGGCCCCGGAACUGGUGAUGGACACGGCUGCACUGCGGGGCCGUUCUGAGUGGUUCAUCUGCCGUGUGAACCGUGGGAAUGCCUUCACCUUCUCCCAGUGGGUGUGCGUCCAGGUGGAGAGGAGCAGCCUCCGUGCAGGUGGGCCCCGAGAGAGGGUCCCCAGACUGGAACCUGUGGGGCACCACUUGUUCCCAUCAGGAAUGGGGUGGCUCCCGCAGGACAUUGACUGCCAUGUUGCACCCCAGCUCUGGACCUUCUGGGGUUACGGUGCCCAUGGAGGAGUUGUAUUAUGGAAUGGUUUGGGUUGGAAGGGACCUUAAAGCUCCUCCAGCCCCAACCCCUGCCACGGGCAGCGACCCCUUCCACUGGAGCAGCUUGCUCCAGGCCCCUGUGUCCAACCUGGCCUUGAACACUGCCAGGGAUGGGGCAGCCACAGCUUCUCUGGGCACCCUGUGCCAGCGCCUCAGCACCCUCACAGGGAAGAGCUUCUGCCUAAGAGUUAUCUCUGUCUCCCCUCUGGCAGGUUAAAGCCAUUCCCCUUGGCCUGUCCCUACAGGCCCUUGUCCAAAGCCCCUCUCCAGGUUUCCUUUAGGCACUGGAGCUGCUCUAAGGUCUCUCCUUAAGGAGCCUUCUCUUCUCCAGGCUGCCCCAGGCCAGCUCUCAGCCUGGCUCCAUAGGUUGAGGGAAUACCCUGUGUCUUCCUCAUGUCCACUUGUCUCAUUCCACCCAUGGGUGCCAGGACCUGCAGCUGGGGGACCUGUGAGCAGCCCUAUGGAGCUCUGGGUGCUCAGUUUGCUGCCUCAUCCCCUCUGCAGCCGACGGUCACUGCUCGACCAUGUCAGGGCUGCAGGUCCUGCAGCACCCUCAGCCAUGUCCCUGGGCAGUGCCAGCCCCAUGUGCGCAGGGGCAUGGUGCCCAGAGCCCACAGCUCAGUACUGGAGCAGGGUUGGCUUCAUCCAGGUCUGGAAGAAAUAGAGAGAAAUAAGCAGAUUAAGGGGCAAAUCCUGCAGGAGGGGAUUAGAGAGGGUGGGAGUGGGAGGGCUCCUGCUCUGUCACGAGGGCCUGGGAGAAUGCCCCAGUCCUCCCAGUACGAGCUCUGGUGCGGGAGGGGGCAGUCAGUGAUUUCAGAUGGGAUUGGGAUCUCUGAGGGGGGUGAAAAAUGCCUUUUUGCUUGGGUUUUCCCCAAACUGGAUCUCAAGUGGGGAAAGCAUCAGUAAGGAGGGGAGGAUGGGGGCUCUGGGCUCUGUCCUGCAGUGAAAUGGCAUCGGUUUAGACCACAACUCUUGCCUGUUUCUGCAUUAAAUGCCCUCGGGAGGGAAGGUCAC
This is an RNA transcript of Pezoporus occidentalis (night parrot), 2064 nucleotides long. It is a transcript of the gene named mucosa-associated lymphoid tissue lymphoma translocation protein 1-like, with no coding region annotated. The record is from RefSeq and is a predicted model, not a curated record. NCBI's taxonomy places the organism in Eukaryota, Metazoa, Chordata, Aves, Psittaciformes, Psittacidae. The transcript has 5 exons.